GAUUAGAGAAGGAUUAGGACUCCUUAAUUAACCCAAAUCACGUCCCAGACCGUCCGAUCAAGACCGGGAGCUCUCUGGGCCCUUAGAUCGCGCUCCGGUCCACGGAAUAGUGCCGUGGACCGCGAGAAAUGCGUGGGAAAUGCCCACGCGGUCCACAGACCGCGCCGUGGACCACCCGGUCCACGGUGGAUCGGGACAAGGGCCAGCAGGCCGCUGGGUCGCGCGUCCCGCGCGGGCCUGGGCCUGGGUCGCGCGUCCCGCGCGGGCCUGGGCCUGGGACGCGCGUCCCGCGC
RNAcentral lists this long non-coding RNA (293 nucleotides) under Elaeis guineensis (African oil palm). RNAcentral's name for it is "long non-coding RNA (EGUI_LNC071537)". The record is from RNAcentral. Lineage: Eukaryota; Viridiplantae; Streptophyta; Magnoliopsida; Arecales; Arecaceae.